CGUGGCCGGGCAGGAAGAGCAGGGUCCCGCCUUCAGGUGUUUGGGACUCAGCUGAGGGUGUGGGUGCCCCGCGGUGGGGGCUGAACCUUCCUGGGGUGUGGAGAGACGAAAGGAGCCCAGAUCCAAGUUCCCUCGUUCCCGCUUUGGCAUAAGUUGCCCUGGCGGUCUCAUGAGAGAGAGAAAGAGCUGGGACCCUCCUCGCCCCAUGUAACAUCAGACAAGGGUGUUGACUCUGCAGCACAGAACCAGUAGUUUGUGGAGAAGAAUGGAGGUGUGGUGUUGAAUCUGCUAGACAGGCUACUGAAGCAAAAGUCAAGAGAUCCAGAUUCCAUCAUGGGGACACUUUAG
RNAcentral lists this long non-coding RNA (348 nucleotides) under Homo sapiens (human). RNAcentral's name for it is "non-protein coding lnc-BEX3-2:4". The record is from RNAcentral. Lineage: Eukaryota; Metazoa; Chordata; Mammalia; Primates; Hominidae.